UUGCUCUUCAACGAGGAAUACCUAGUAAGCGCAAGUCAUCAGCUUGCGUUGAUUACGUCCCUGCCCUUUGUACACACCGCCCGUCGCUACUACCGAUUGAAUGGCUUAGUGAGGUCUCUGGAUUGACGCUGAGGAGCCGGCAACGGCACCUCGUUGUUGAGAAGUUGAUCAAACUUGGUCAUUUAGAGGAAGUAAAAGUCGUAACAAGGUUUCCGUAGGUGAACCUGCGGAAGGAUCAUUAAUGAAUUGAAAGGGAGUUGAUGCUGGCUAGGUCUCCUGGCAUGUGCUCGCUCUCGACAAUCUUAUCCAUACACCUGUGCACACUGUGAGGGCGUGAAAGCGCCCUUAUUUUAACAUACACCUUAUAUAGUCAUCGCACGUGAUCUGCGUCUUCUGGCGCUUAAAUGAAAAUACAACUUUUAACAACGGAUCUCUUGGCUCUCGCAUCGAUGAAGAACGCAGCGAAAUGCGAUAAGUAAUGUGAAUUGCAGAAUUCAGUGAAUCAUCGAAUCUUUGAACGCACCUUGCGCUCCUUGGUAUUCCGAGGAGCACGCCUGUUCGAGUGUCGUGAAACUCUCAAGCCUGAUGCUUUAUUGUAUCAGCUUGGUUAUUGGACUCUGCUGUCUCCUUCUCUGGAACGGCUGGUCUCAAAUGAAUUAGCUGGCCCUUGUUGUGGGACUUGGUUCUACUCAGCGUGAUAAUCUAUGACCGCUGAGGACAUCUCUCGGGAUGGCCAGACCUGCCUAGGACUGCUUCCAACUCAUCAUUUUCAUGAUAUUUUUCAACUUUGACCUCGAAUCAGGUGGGACUACCCGCUGAACUUAAGCAUAUCAAUAAGCGGAGGA
RNAcentral lists this ribosomal RNA (845 nucleotides) under uncultured fungus. RNAcentral's name for it is "eukaryotic LSU rRNA". The stretch from base 1 to 241 matches the Rfam family "Eukaryotic small subunit ribosomal RNA", at positions 1593 to 1831 of the family's 1831-position model. Lineage: Eukaryota; Fungi. The record is from RNAcentral.